This 448-nucleotide ribosomal RNA is filed under the name uncultured bacterium. RNAcentral's name for it is "bacterial SSU rRNA". It matches the Rfam family "Bacterial small subunit ribosomal RNA", at positions 330 to 794 of the family's 1533-position model. The record is from RNAcentral.
GCCAGACUCCUACGGGAGGCAGCAGUGGGGGAUAUUGCACAAUGGGGGGAACCCUGAUGCAGCGACGCCGCGUGGGUGAAGAAGUAUUUCGGUAUGUAAAGCCCUAUCGGCAGGGAAGAAAUUGGACGGUACCUGACUAAGAAGCCCUGGCUAACUACGUGCCAGCAGCCGCGGUAAUACGUAGGGGGCAAGCGUUAUCCGGAUUCACUGAGUGUAAAGGGAGCGUAGACGGCCAUGCAAGCCUGGAGUGAAAGCCCGGGGCCCAACCCCGGGACUGCUCUGGGAACUGUGCGGCUGGAGUGCGGGAGGGGCAGGCGGAAUUCCUGGUGUAGCGGUGAAAUGCGUAGAUAUCAGGAGGAACACCGGCGGCGAAGGCGGCCUGCUGGACCGCGACUGACGUUGAGGCUCGAAAGCGUGGGGAGCAAACAGGAUUAGAUACCCUCGUACA